CUUGUGAUGGCCAUGCUCCUU
RNAcentral lists this non-coding RNA (21 nucleotides) under Arabidopsis thaliana (thale cress). The record is from RNAcentral. Lineage: Eukaryota; Viridiplantae; Streptophyta; Magnoliopsida; Brassicales; Brassicaceae.